RNA transcript from Salvia splendens (bonfire salvia), 1679 nucleotides. It is a transcript of the gene named tetratricopeptide repeat protein 38, with no coding region annotated. The transcript is spliced from 13 exons. Lineage: Eukaryota; Viridiplantae; Streptophyta; Magnoliopsida; Lamiales; Lamiaceae. The record is from RefSeq and is a predicted model, not a curated record.
AGUGAAACGCGAAAACUCAGAGGAAAUCUCUUUGUUGAAGAUGGCGGCAGCAGAGAUGAAGCUGGACAGAUGGGGCUACCAAGUUAGGACUUCUUCCGAUGCUUGCAUUUCUGCUAUCAACGAUUACUAUCACCAGGUGCUUAGUUAUGAAAGGAAAAGGUCGGUAAUAUUAGAAGCUCCAAAAAGUGAUCCGGAGUGUGUUCUAGGCAACAUUUUGGCUGCCCAUUUUCUCUGCUCAGCUGAUCCAUCCCAUGCUCCUGAAUUCAUCGAUGCUGCCAAGUCUCAUCUCGAAUGUGCUAGCACAUAUGAGAAGGCAGUGUUUGAAGUCGUCCAAUAUAUAAUUUCUUCAGAUAGAGAUGAUGAUUUAGUUGUGCAGCAGCAUUCCAAGCUUUUGCAAGAUUUCCCCCGAGAUCUUGUAUCACUGAAGAGAGUUCAAGUGCAAUGCUUUUACAUGGGUCGACUAGAUCUAUUUCUGGGAAUUGUAGAACAGGUCCUGCCAGUGAAUGACCAUGAGGAUUAUAUAUAUGGCAUGCUUGCAUUUACAUUACUAGAGCUAGGUCAAAUGGAAGAUGCAGAGAAAGCAGGAAAAAAGGGAUAUGAGCUCAAUAAAGAUGAUGCCUGGUCACAGCAUGCACUAUGCCAUGUUUACCAGUACGAGUGUCGUUUCAAAGAGGCAGUGGAGUUCAUGAUGAAUUGUGCACAAUCAUGGGGUUCUUUGUCAUCUUUUAUGUAUACACAUAAUUGGUGGCAUAUUGCUCUAUGUUACUUGGAAGGCCAUGCUCCUAUAACUAAAGUAGAAGAUAUUUAUAAUGAGCACAUUUGGAAAGAAUUGGAAAGAAGUGAUGCCACCCCAGUGGAGGUAUAUUUAAAUGCCGCCGGUUUGUUAUUGCGUCUGUAUGUGCGAGGUGUGCAUGAUAUUCUCAAGGAUCGUCUAAAUGAGUUAGCUAAUUGUCUGACAGAUCAAGCCUUCUGGUUUCUGGAGUGGCACCUUGACAUUUUGAUAUUAUGGACCUUAUCUUGCACUGGGAGAUUUAAUAAAGCAGAAGAAUUACUUAAGGGCUUGAACUCCAGGGUUUCAAUGAUGAACAGGAAGAAACAACAACAAAUGCAAACAGGACUUGAUCUUGCAGAAGCUCUCUAUAGAUACGGGAAGGGAGACUACAAGAAGGCUGUGGAACUUCUUGGGCACGACUUUGAUGCCAUUAACUACAAGCUAGGUAAUCGGGGCAUCUGAUGAACAGCUCGAUGUGUUCACUGAAGUGCACAUCACUCUGCUGCUGGAAACCGGAGAAGUAUCAGCAGCUAAAGAAGCUAUUGAGAAACAACUGAAGAGACGGGAAGGUGCGCCGUUUCUAUGGUCUCUCCUGGUACGUGUCCAAUUAAACGUUUUUUAGCUAGAGCUUUGUGUUCAAGUUUUGCUUUUAUUCAUGCAAGUUAUUGCAAUAUAGGAGAAAGCAUGUUUGAUAUUAGGAAUGGAGGAAGCAGCUAGUUAUGGUCAGAAAGCCAAAGAAUUAGAAGCUGCAUACUUCACUUAGCUAAACUUGCACGCAGCAUGACCUGUGUAGUGAUGGGUUUGGAUUAUGAAUGUUUUGGAUGUCCAGAUUAGAUGGAUUCUUAACAAGCCAUGUGAGUUUGUCUAAUCAUUAAUAGUAGUACUAUAUGAUUAAUUAACUUGAUAA